AGGAUUCUUCUCAUUCAAUACUGACCUUCAGUGCUUGCCCUCAGAGAUUGAAGUAAAAACAGUUUCUUUAUCAGAUUCUUGGUAGAAGAAUCAUGAUUCCUGCUAUAGUAUUCUCAAAAUGAACAAACAGCAAACAGCAACAUGGACAAAAAACAAAACAAAACAAGCUUGCUUGGAACCAAUACAGAAGAGUGUAGUAUCUCCAUUAGAAAUUUGGGUGCUGGAUGGCAGCUUAGCAAGAAGCAAAAGUUCAGACCUCGUGGAAGACCCUUCCUUAACUGAUACAGACUGA
This 292-nucleotide long non-coding RNA is filed under the name Monodelphis domestica (gray short-tailed opossum). RNAcentral describes it as "lncRNA (ENSMODG00000047802.1)". The record is from RNAcentral. Lineage: Eukaryota; Metazoa; Chordata; Mammalia; Didelphimorphia; Didelphidae.